This 16-nucleotide ribosomal RNA is filed under the name Clinostomum marginatum. RNAcentral describes it as "partial 28S ribosomal RNA". The record is from RNAcentral. Lineage: Eukaryota; Metazoa; Platyhelminthes; Trematoda; Strigeidida; Clinostomidae.
GGAUCAGACGUGAAUA